UUNUGAACUGGGUAGCUAGAGUAUNUCAGAGGGGGGUAGAAUUCCACGUGUAGCAGUGAAAUGCGUAGAGAUGUGGAGGAAUACCGAUGGCGAAGGCGGCCCCCUGGGAUAAUACUGACGUUCAUGCUCGAAAGCGUGGGUAGCAANCAGGAUUAGAUACCCUGGUAGUCCGCGCCCUAAACGAUGUCGAUUAGCUGUUGGGCAACUUGAUUGCUUAGUAGCGUAGCUAACGCGUGAAAUCGACCGCCUGGGGAGUACGGUCGCAAGAUUAAAACUCAAAGGAAUUGACGGGGACCCGCACAAGCGGUGGAUGAUGUGGAUUAAUUCGAUGCAACGCGAAGAACCUUACCUGGUCUUGACAUGUACGGAAGAACUCAGAGACGAGUUUGUGCCUUCGGGAGCCGUAACACAGGUGCUGCAUGGCUGUCGUCAGCUCGUGUCGUGAGAUGUUGGGUUAAGUCCCGCAACGAGCGCAACCCUUGUCAUUAGUUGCCAUCAUUUAGUUGGGCACUCUAAUGAGACUGCCGGUGACAAACCGGAGGAAGGUGCGGAUGACGUCAAGUCCUCAUGGCCCUUAUGACCAGGGCUUCACACGUCAUACAAUGGUCGGUACAGAGGGUAGCCAAGCCGCGAGGUGGAGCCAAUCCCAGAAAACCGAUCGUAGUCCGGAUUGCACUCUGCAACUCGAGUGCAUGAAGUCGGAAUCGCUAGUAAUCGCAGGUCAGCAUACUGCGGUGAAUACGUUCCCGGGUCUUGUAC
RNAcentral lists this ribosomal RNA (759 nucleotides) under uncultured bacterium. Its description in RNAcentral is "bacterial SSU rRNA". It matches the Rfam family "Bacterial small subunit ribosomal RNA", at positions 626 to 1386 of the family's 1533-position model. The record is from RNAcentral.